GUAUUACAUAAAAGCCGAAACACCCAUCACGAAAUCUCCAAUAACAACAGAACACGAGAUAAAAACCACAAAGAAGCAACUACCCACUUGUAACCGGUGCCUCUAAUGCAGUAGUAGAAGGCAAAUCAGCUCCAUCACCAUCACCAUCGCCAUCGCCAUCGCCAGAAGAAGAAACAAGAGUCCAAUCAGGAGGUAGGGGAGGUAAAGGAGCAUAAACAGUGGGCUUGCGCUUUAUGUCCCAUGGUUGACUCUUUCUUGGCCUUGUUUUCCUGUGAUGUGCAGUUGCCUUCUUCUGUGGCCUUGAAGAACACUCUAUCGACAUCCCACCAUGACCAAAACCAGUGCCUAUUGGGACCGUUUUGAACUCGCCAUUGACAGGCUUGAAAGACGGUGUAGUCGAGGGUUU
This 406-nucleotide long non-coding RNA is filed under the name Populus trichocarpa (black cottonwood). Its description in RNAcentral is "long non-coding RNA (PTRI_LNC000625)". Lineage: Eukaryota; Viridiplantae; Streptophyta; Magnoliopsida; Malpighiales; Salicaceae. The record is from RNAcentral.